AAUAGGGUCCCCCUUUGCUUGUUGUUUAGUCGUUAAGUUGUGUCCUACUCUUCGUGACCCCAUGGACCAGAGCACGCCAGGCCCUCCUGUCUUCCACUGCCUCCUGGAGUUGGGUUAAAUUCAUGUUGGUCGCUUCGAUGACCCUGUCCAACCAUCUCGUCCUCUGUCGUCCCCUUCUCCUCUUGCCUUCACUCUUUCCCAACAUCAGGGCCUUUUCCAGGAAGUCCUCUCUUCUCAUGAGAUGGCCAAAGUACUGGAGAGCAAAAUGAGCCCACUCGGGAAAGAAAUUUCCCCACCCAUAAGAGCCACUCAAAGUGCCCCAGAUCAUCUGGGUAUUUGGGUGUGCUAUGUGUUCCUCCAUGGGUGGUCUCCAGGCUGAACUCCCUGAAGUAAAUAAAAAUGUUAUUUUACAUGCAGUAGAAAUUCCUGCACGUUGGAUGAUAUUUUUCUAAUUCUGCAGUUGGCAUAGUACCCAGUUCUGAGUUUUGUAUGUGGCAAGGUAUUUAGUAUUGUUAAGUUUUGGAAAAACUUCUGUAUAUCUCCUACUUUCUUGGAAUACCAUUUUCUCACACUUAAGGGUGUUUAGUAUUGUUAGGUUUUGGAAAAAAUUAUGUACUGUAUUCAGUAAAAAUAUUUGUUCUCACUGAGGAUAUCUCAUAUUCUCUUAGAAUACCAUUUUUUUACACUUUCAUGAAGGGGAACUGUUUCUUUUAUGGCAACAAGUGUCUUUCACUGGGAUGUGAAGCAUUUUUAUCUUGCAUUUCUUGAGGUCAUGAUCUGAUUGUGAGAGAAUCUUAUGCGAAUGGCUUCCCACCCCUUAGUCUGUCCCGCAGGGUCUGUGAAGAUGCCAACAACAAGUAUUCCUUCGUCUCUUCCUGAUGAUGCAGCGGAACCAGAUCAGGGUCCAGUGACCUUUGAGGAGGUGGCCGUGUCCUUCACCCAGGAGGAGUGGGCGCUGCUGGAUCCCGACCAGAAGGCCCUCCACCAGGAAGUCAUGGAGGAGAACUGGCAGAUGAUGUACUCCCUCGGUAAGGUCCCCUCUUUCUCCCGCUGAUGCUAAUCUCUCUUCACCAAGGUAAUAAGGAGACUAACAAUAACAAUAGUUCUCUUGCAUCCAAAAUUCAAAUUCAUGCUAGCCACAACCUGGCACAUAAUGCAAAAUAUCUCCCCACUUUUCACAAAACAUCAAAGAAGGAAUUAUUAACCACCCAAAUAAAAUAAAAAAUCCCUUGGGAGAUCA
RNAcentral lists this long non-coding RNA (1240 nucleotides) under Pogona vitticeps (central bearded dragon). RNAcentral's name for it is "lncRNA (ENSPVIG00000004745.1)". Lineage: Eukaryota; Metazoa; Chordata; Lepidosauria; Squamata; Agamidae. The record is from RNAcentral.